CAGUAGCGUAUAUUAAAGUUGUUGCAGUUAAAAUGCUCGUAGUUGAAGUUCGGAUGCAGCUGAGCUUGGAAACGCUGUUAUGGUGCUUCCGUUGCUUUUGCUUGUCCACAGUGCGUUGCAAGUACGUAUGUGCUUGUGCGUGCAUUUUACUUUGAGAAACAUAGGGUGUUCCACGCAUGUUACGGCAUGAAUAUUCCAGCAUGGGAUAAUCUGGUACGACUUCCAAUCUGCCAUUUUGGUUCGUAGGUUGGAAGUAAUGAUUAAUAGGGACUGUCGGGGGCAUUGGUAUUUGACUGUCAGAGGUGAAAUUCUUAGAUUCGUUGAGGACCAACCACUGCGAAAGCAUUUGUCAAGGAUGUCUCCAUUAA
RNAcentral lists this ribosomal RNA (368 nucleotides) under uncultured eukaryote. RNAcentral describes it as "partial 18S ribosomal RNA". It matches the Rfam family "Eukaryotic small subunit ribosomal RNA", at positions 592 to 976 of the family's 1831-position model. The record is from RNAcentral.